This 492-nucleotide ribosomal RNA is filed under the name uncultured bacterium. RNAcentral's name for it is "partial 16S ribosomal RNA". It matches the Rfam family "Bacterial small subunit ribosomal RNA", at positions 29 to 507 of the family's 1533-position model. The record is from RNAcentral.
AUUGAACGCUGGCGGCAUGCUUUACACAUGCAAGUCGAACGGUAACAGGCCUUCGGGUGCUGACGAGUGGCGAACGGGUGAGUAAUGCAUCGGAACGUACCCAGAGGUGGGGGAUAACGCAGCGAAAGCUGUGCUAAUACCGCAUGUGAUCUGAGGAUGAAAGCGGGGGACCGAGCAGCAAGGUUUGGCCUCGCGCCUGUGGAGCGGCCGAUGUCGGACUAGCUAGUUGGUGGGGUAAAGGCCCACCAAGGCGACGAUCCGUAGCUGGUAUGAGAUGACGAACAGCCACACCCGGACUGAGACACGGCUCAGACUCCUGCUGGAGGCAGCAGUGGGUAAUUUUGGACAAUGGGGGAAAACCGCCACCAGCAACACCACGUGCGGGAAGAACCCCGUCGCGUUCUAAACCACUUUUGGCAGGAACGAAACCAUGUCCGCUAAAACCGCGAGCCAAUGACAGUACCUGAAGAAUAAGCACCGGCUAACCACGCG